UACGUAGGGGGCAAGCGUUGUCCGGAAUCAUUGGGCGUAAAGAGCGUGUAGGCGGCUCGAUAAGUCUGCUGUGAAAGUCCAGGGCUCAACCCUGGAAGGCCGGUGGAAACUGUCGGGCUAGAGUCCGGAAGAGGCGAGUGGAAUUCCCGGUGUAGCGGUGAAAUGCGCAGAUAUCAGGAGGAACACCGGUGGCGAAGGCGGCAUCCUGGACCGGCAUUGACGCUGAGGAGCGAAAGCCAGGGGAGCAAACGGG
Molecule: ribosomal RNA, 253 nt
Filed under: uncultured bacterium
Lineage: Bacteria
Description: partial 16S ribosomal RNA
Rfam family: Bacterial small subunit ribosomal RNA
Source: RNAcentral